AGUGAACGCUGGCGGCAGGCCUAAUACAUGCAAGUCGAACGAGCCCGCAAGGGCAAGUGGCGAAAGGGUUAGUAAUACGAUCGAAUGUACCCUGAGGUGGCGGAUAGUCGUGGGAAACUGCGGGUAAUACGUCAUGAUCUCUCCGGAGCAAAGAUUUAUCGCCUUGGGAGCAGCGAUCGUCCUAUCAGGUAGUUGGCGGGGUAAUGGCCCACCAAGCCGAAGACGGGUAGCGGGUGUGAGAGCACGGCCCGCAACAUCGGAACUGAGACACUGUCCGGACUCCUACGGGAGGCUGCAGUAACGAAUCUUCCGCAAUGGGCGAAAGCCUGACGGAGCAAUGCCGCGUGUGGGAUGAAGCGCCUUCGGCGUGUAAACCACUGUCAGGGAACGGAACCAAUGAUUGUUCCCAAAGGAAGUGGCGACUAACUCUGUG
RNAcentral lists this ribosomal RNA (433 nucleotides) under uncultured bacterium. Its description in RNAcentral is "bacterial SSU rRNA". It matches the Rfam family "Bacterial small subunit ribosomal RNA", at positions 29 to 507 of the family's 1533-position model. The record is from RNAcentral.